RNAcentral lists this ribosomal RNA (116 nucleotides) under Prolemur simus (greater bamboo lemur). Lineage: Eukaryota; Metazoa; Chordata; Mammalia; Primates; Lemuridae. The record is from RNAcentral.
GUCUAUGGCCGUACCACCCUGAACAUACCUGAUCUCGGCUGAUCUUGGAAGUGAGCAGGGUUGGGCCUGGUUAGUACUUGGAUGGGAGACCAUUGACAAGGGUGCUGCCCUAAGCA